CCUUUGACGUUAGCGGAGGACGGGUGAGUAACACGUGGGUAACCUACCUAUAAGACUGGGAUAACUUCGGGAAACCGGAGCUAAUACCGGAUAAUAUUUCGAACCGCAUGGUUCGAUAGUGAAAGAUGGUUUUGCUAUCACUUAUAGAUGGACCCGCGCCGUAUUAGCUAGUUGGUAAGGUAACGGCUUACCAAGGCGACGAUACGUAGCCGACCUGAGAGGGUGAUCGGCCACACUGGAACUGAGACACGGUCCAGACUCCUACGGGAGGCAGCAGCG
RNAcentral lists this ribosomal RNA (279 nucleotides) under uncultured Staphylococcus sp. RNAcentral describes it as "partial 16S ribosomal RNA". It matches the Rfam family "Bacterial small subunit ribosomal RNA", at positions 83 to 356 of the family's 1533-position model. Lineage: Bacteria; Bacillati; Bacillota; Bacilli; Caryophanales; Staphylococcaceae. The record is from RNAcentral.